AGCUUUGCGCAGUGGCAGUAUCGUAGCCAAUGAGGUUUAUCCGAGGCUCGAUUAUUGCUAAUUGAAAAAUAUACAUUAUG
This 80-nucleotide small nuclear RNA is filed under the name Canis lupus familiaris (dog). RNAcentral's name for it is "U4 spliceosomal RNA". It matches the Rfam family "U4 spliceosomal RNA", at positions 1 to 80 of the family's 138-position model. Rfam says of the family: U4 small nuclear RNA (U4 snRNA) is a component of the major U2-dependent spliceosome. The structure of U4 snRNA from yeast and human has been reported. U4 snRNA presents a k-turn RNA motif in the 5p-SL related to recognition of Snu13 protein. Lineage: Eukaryota; Metazoa; Chordata; Mammalia; Carnivora; Canidae. RNAcentral also lists the same sequence under 1 other name. The record is from Rfam by way of RNAcentral.